UAUAAAAUGCUUUGUAGGACACAGUUCUGUAGCUGUAUGACAAACAGUAAUGAAUAUUAAAGCAUAAAUAUUAAAUAUUUCCUCAGUGGUCCAUGCGAUUACACUCUAUCAUGUCUGAUGGGCUAAAUUUGGUUAAUAUCUGAAAGUAACUUUGUAUAUUGUUUAUGAAAUUGUAAUUUUCUUCUCUACAUUGCAAAGGAUAGACUUUUUCUUCUCCUCUAUUUCAGGAAACUGUGCUGCUCCCUGUUAUUUUAAAGUGAAGAAACUGAGAACCAUUUAUUUCUACCGGCCAGUGUAAGAUCACCAUGUUGGGUUGGAGUUACACAGUCUCAGAAAAACAUUUCAGAAGGGAACAAUAUAUACAGUUAAUGGUAAAUAUUUAUUGGUACUAAUAUGCACCUUUCAGGGGUAAAAAAGGUACAAAAUUGUCCCGUUUGAAAGGUUACCGACCCAGUGACAGCUUGUGUAUCACUUUUUUGUUUAUUGUGUAUUGCUGUACACCCAAAGUGCUUUUCAAUCAUAUGAGGGAAUCUCUUCUUAACCACCACCAGAGAGCAGCAUCCACCUGAUAAUACAACAGCUGUGUUCUUGUCUUUUUCUUGAGCUGUUCCUUUAAGAUCAUCUGAUUUUAGUAUCACAGUGAGGCCAUGCUAAUAAGCCCACAACAAGGACAUGAGUCAUCCAGGAAUGUUGGAUGGCCAGACACUGAAGACAACGAUCGUGUCCGACUUCAGAAGACAGGUAACAACCACAACCAAGAGGACACGGAUGGAACUGCAUCUUGAAAAAAUGCGAGCCAUUCCUAAUUUCUCUUUUAGUAAAUCUGCUCUUUUAGUUGAAGUGCCCAGAGGAAUCGCUGCAGACAGGAACACUGCUGUUUUGCACCAUCAUGCCAACCAGAAUUUGAAAGGCUUUGUGUAGAUCGACACAUUCAUCCAUUGGGCUUCAAAGCAAAAAUCUGGAGAUUAGAUGCACCUGUUGCCUAUUUAUACCUGUAUGCACAGGGAGUGGCUCAGGUAUGCAAAAUUCACUAGACUAAUUUCAUUGGCGUUUUUUCUUAAAGUCAGAGAUGAUUGAGGCUCCCAAGUGAAUCCUCAUAUGUCAUCACAACAUAACUCCUAGUGAAUGACAGAUAAGGAACUGGAUCUGAUUGUACCCAGAUAAUGAAAUUCCCAGUAGAGUCCAAAACGAACAUGAUUUGCAUGAUUUCAGAUAAACUGUAUAUCGGUGUUCAGCGGCUCAUAAGCCAACGGUUUCAUAUGUUGACGGAUCACACUCUCUCAACUCUUGGACUCUGUACUUUAUCUAAAGAAGGUAACAAGAAAAUUAUUUGGGAUUUAAGAUUUAUUUCCAGAGUCUCUAGAAAACAAGAUAUAACAUGUGUCUCUAUCAGGCCGCUGUCUCUGGGAAUUAUGUCUGGACAAAAGCAGAAUUUGCUGUGGCUGAUGAUCAUCUGUUGUGCUACGUGCCAGAUAACAAUUUCAGAAAACUCGACAGAUGAGUGUUUCUGGAACAGCAGUAGCUCAACAGUUCCAGUUAUUACAUGGACCUGUCAAUCAGGUAAUGGGUACAUUGAAAAUACGGAAGUUGUUGAACCCUUAGAAGCAUCAGGCGCAAUUGACAAACUGGAGUCUGAAAUGGAAGAAAUGGAAAAUAACAAUAUAAGCAAAGCAGAGAUUGUCAUUGGGAAUGCUAACGGUCUUCUCCAAAUACAAGCUGAGAACACAACAACUGAAGACAUGUGCUACUCAUCAAAUCAGAACAUGAUAAACGUAAGGCCUGAGAAACAUUGCAGCAUGUCUAAGUUAGUAUUCUUUAUUAAUCAAUGUAAAUUUUC
Carassius carassius (crucian carp) is the source of this 1837-nucleotide long non-coding RNA. RefSeq lists it as uncharacterized. The transcript is spliced from 4 exons. The record is from RefSeq and is a predicted model, not a curated record. NCBI's taxonomy places the organism in Eukaryota, Metazoa, Chordata, Actinopteri, Cypriniformes, Cyprinidae.